Molecule: long non-coding RNA, 354 nt
Filed under: Ursus thibetanus thibetanus
Lineage: Eukaryota; Metazoa; Chordata; Mammalia; Carnivora; Ursidae
Description: lncRNA (ENSUTTG00000019938.1)
Source: RNAcentral
UUUUCCCCUGGCAGCCUGAGACCAAACCAUUAGGAUGGAAAUCCCCCGCCCCCGAGUUCUCUCAACUGAAGAAGGGAGCAGAUGCAUUCUCAGAACCGUAGUGGGUCCCGAGGAGAAGGUUCUAGAACUCCCAGGUGCCGACGAGGGCUGCAGAAGUUCCACGGCAGUUGGGGCCACUCCUAGAAAGGGAGCCAUUUCCUUUGUGGUCUUGGAAAGAGCUGUCUGUCCGUUGGCCCUGCCUACGACUUGAGAAGACAUCAGCUCAACUGGACAGAGGUUUCGAGUGGUUCCAGAGACGGCUGGGGAGCGAGCCCCCGGCACACGGUGCGGCGUCAGCGUCUCCGUGCGUGACGG